RNAcentral lists this long non-coding RNA (21316 nucleotides) under Ananas comosus (pineapple). RNAcentral describes it as "long non-coding RNA (ACOM_LNC020638)". The record is from RNAcentral. Lineage: Eukaryota; Viridiplantae; Streptophyta; Magnoliopsida; Poales; Bromeliaceae.
ACUUUUUCAUAAAAUUUUCCAUUUUUUAAAAAAUUAUUAUAUCUAAUUAUGUAACAACUUCCUCUUUUUGUUUUAAUUAAUUUUCGUGGUACUCAAAAUCCAAUGUAGUAUCCUUAUUUCUUUAUCUUUUCUUUUCCUUUUUCUUUUUAUUUCUUUUGAGUUGGUAAGCUAGCUGGGGAUAAGGAUGCCACGUGCACCUUACCCCCAAGCAUGCUUAUCACCUUAAUACUUGUGCAUAGUUUAUAUAUAGUUCUUGAGCCUCUACGCAUAUAGUUCUUGAGCCGUACGUAGAGGAGGAGCUCGGGUGGUGUGGAGUUUCGUCGACGUCGCGCAGCGGUGCCGUUCGAGCGUGUGUUCGUCGUCGUAGCAUCGCGAGGGGGGCCGGGCGAGGGUCCGAUUCCGCCGUUUUUGUUGUCGCGCCGGAUUGUGAUUAGCGUUUGAGGUGGGUUACAUCGGCUUUACUCCUAAGUUCUAAUUGGCCGACAUGUAUAGAUCUUGAUUUCGGUAAUUAAUUUAGCUCAAAUUCAUGGACUAUAUGUAGAUUGCGAAAUCUGAAUUUUGGAGCAUAUUUUAUAAAUUAAGUAGAUCAUACAUGUUGGACUUGAAAAUUGAAUUAGGAGAAAACCUGCGAUUUGGACCUGUCACCAGUUUUAACUACCUGAUUUAGCUCUAGGAGCCGUUAGAAAAUUGUACUGUCGCAGUUUCUUCGAGACGAGUACUCCAGGUAGUUUAGAAUGUAUUUACACUCGUGCUGGUUCGCCGAGUGGAUUUUUACAGGGUCGUUCAGGUUGUUUCGGACUGUUGGGUGCCGUCAGAGUUGACGGUGGACCCGUAUCGCCUUUUUGGGCGUCAGAUUGUGCCGAGGGCACUUACCUGUUGGUUGUUAGACCAUUUUGAGUCGAUUACUUGACUUUGGCUAGUUGGAGCCUGUUUGAGCUCGACAGAGAUACGCUGCAUACUCGGUUGGGUAGCGCCCACGAGUGCCACUCCGGAGUCAGGCUUGUGCUUUUGCGUUGGUGUCGCUCAUGCCAGUUGGACUUGCUCUCCACGGACCAGUUAGUGUGGAUAGAGCCCGAUAGUCGCAACGGGGCAGGGACGGGUGUAUUCACAGUCCCGGGGACGGGUAUGCUUACAGUCCCGAUUGGAUUGGGUCAGAUUUGACAUUUCCUACAGUUGGUUAGUGUAGAGCAUGAUAGUGUAGUGGAUGAUAGCGGUAGAGUAUGCUUCCUGCUUUCCUUCUAUCCUUGCUCCCUUCUGUAGACUUAGUGGGUGACCGAUGUUGUUUUGGGCGGUACCCACUGAGGACUACUUGUUUUUACAGUAGUUCUCACGCCCAGUUGUUACCCUUUGUUUUGCAGAGCCACAGGUUUCGGCUGCUGCGCCUUCCGCGGAUCAGGAUCGAGGCAAGGGCGUUGCGAGUUAGAGCCCUACCCGACUGACAGAGCUAGAGGCACCCUUACUGCAGGUAGAUGUUUUGUUUCGAGUUUGUGUACAUAGCUUGCUUAACUCGCCAGUGCGAGUAACCAUGUAUUUUGGAUUUGGACUAUGUAUAUGAAACUCAGUUGUUUAGCUUUGGUUUAUUGAGCAGCUCUAUACUACUGUUUGUAGUAUUGUAUAUCUACAGGUACUUUUGACGCUUCGUAUACAGGAAAAAUUCUUUUGUAUACGGCGGAUUUGUCAGCGUGCCCGGAAAACGAGACAUCCGGGGCUUGACAUCCAAUAUCAUAGACAAAUAAUUUACACAAAUAAGAGUUAAUAUAUGCUCUAAGUAACAUUGAUUUUUCCUUAUGAGGCUCAUUAUUAGGAGUGUAUUAUUUGACUUUGUCCACUAAUUCAUUAACUAAUGGCUUAAUCACAUAAUUAUGGGUAUUAGAACAUUAUGUUAAAAUGAUUGAUUUCAUAUUAUUGCUUUAACAACCAAUUUAAAGGUGAUGCCCAUAUGAGGGCCAAAUAGAAAAAUACUUCAAUGAAUUGAAAAGGAGAUCCGGAAUUAAAAAAAAAAAGUAAUUAAGAUAUUGUCUUUGGCCUUUUUUUUUUUUUUUUAAUGUUCCAUUUAUUUCAGAGAAAUCAUAAUCUGAAAAAAAAAAAAAAACAGUUUGAAGCCUAUUAAUAAUUAUUCGCUGUUGUAAAAGUGGAAGCUUUACAAAUUUGUUUCCGUUUCGUCGAAAACAAUUAGAAGGCCUAGAAAAAUAUUUUCAGAUCAACUAAUAAUUUUUGCACGUUUAGUUCGAAAAGUAUUGUUAUAUGUAAAAUUGUUAAAGAGAACUUAUAUUUCUAAUGAAAAAAAUAUUUUAUUGGUGUGUUAGCAAAUUCCCGCAAUGUAUUAUAAUGCUUAAACAUCUAUAUACUAUAAAUGUUAAUACAGCAACAAUACAUAAAGAUAAUAUUAUAAUUAAAUAAUCCAAAGCUUUUGUUUUUGAAAAAAAGAACCUAUUAUGAGUAAUAGAAACUUAAAUAAGUUUUACUAGAAUACUAUUAUAGCACACCACUCAAUUUACUACGAGUUAUUUUCAAUAACAGAGCUUUCAAGUUGACGAUCGACACAAUUAAAUAUAAUUUAAACUAUCUAAAAAUAAAAAUUGAUAUUCCUUUCGAUAUUAUUCUUUUGUUCAUCAAAUGGAUAUAAAAUAUAUGGAUGAAAAAUAAAAAUUCUUCAAAAAGUGAUGAUGUAAUUUUAUAUUCAUGAAGAUCUGAAGUCUUAUUUUAAAUAAUUUAAAAAAAAUUUGAACAAGAAUUUAACUAAUUUGGACUCUUCUGUGUCGCUAAAUGAGCAAAUGUAUUGCACCAACUGUUUGAUCGUUGGAUUAGUAAUGUCAAAAAAAUAUGAAAUUUAAUUUUUAGAUAAUUUAAAUAAUCUAAAUCAUGUUCAAUGAUACCGAUUGUCGCUUUAAAAGCGCUAUUAUUGAAAAUAAAUUGAUAGUAAAUGGAGCCAUUUACUAAUGAUUGUAAUCCAGUAGAGCUCAAGUUAAAUACACCCCAGGUCAAUCUAAAAUGUUCUUCUUGUGGGCCCAAAUUAAGUCGGGCUUGAGUACAAAUCCAACCAGGUACGAUUUGACGUGGCGAUCCGCCGGCGUUUUAUCAUAUCGAAAUUCAACCAGGUAGGUCCGAGCAUAUCCAUUCAGCCUAGCGGCGAAUCUAGAAAUUUUAUUUAGUGGGAUCAAUAUAUAAUAAAGAGAAAAUAUAAAAUAUAAAUUAAUAAAAUAAGAUAUAAACUAGUCAUUAAAUUGCAAAACUAAAAAAUGUAUUAUUUUUAUUUAUAAACAUACUCAACAUGUUUUCGUAUUCUGAGAAUAAUGUUGGAUAGGUUGAACGAUAACACCGCCAAACACAGAUAUAUAUAUAUAUAUAUAUGUAUAUAUAUAUAUGUAUAUAUAUACAUAUAUAUAUAUAUAUGUAUAUAUGAUAAUAAUAAUGCUAUUAUAUGAUAUAUGGUAUAAUUAUAUAUAAUAAUAUAUAGUCCGGGCUGCUAUGCUAUCAAUACACAAAAAACACUUGGUGUCUAUCAAUUUUCUGUCGUUCAAUUAAUCCCUUUGAUUAUUUUUACCCGAUAGAUAUUACUAUUCAACCAACUAUCCACUUAACCCUAGAGGGCCCAUAUCAUUCUAACUGUACAUUUCUUAAGUUCAGAAUGGUAAAAAACUAAUAAGCAAUAAUUAGGUUGCAUAUUGAUAAUAUUCAGUGAUUAUAAUACUAUUAUUAUAUAUCUAAUUAUUUAUAUUAUAUAUAUAUAUAUCACUAAGCAUAUAUAUGUCACUAAGCAAUCGUUCAUCAAUUGAUCACACAUAUAAUUGCGUAAUUUAUUCUUUAUGAAAUUUAUUACAAAAAAAGCUCUUUCCAAUGUGGCAAGUAGUAACAGGUGGAAUUAAUGUCAACUUUAAAAAUAAAUAAAUUCUUGGAAACACUAUAUUUCUUCGUCUUAAUAAAAGAGAAAAUUUAAGGUUAGCGGAUCAUACAUUUUUAUUGGAUCUACUAUUUUUUUUUUCUAUUUUAUUCUACUGUCCUACUUAAUCCCUCUAUGCUUUUUCGUCAGCCCACUACCACGUAGGCCUAUGAGAUUAAAAAAUAAAAAAUCAUAUUAUUUGACCCCACUUUGGGUCAACUUUGGCGUCAAAGUUGGGUCAACAACUCAAGAUUGGCCAAUAUGGCCUUUUUUUUAACAUAUCUCAGUGGAGUUAAUGGACCCCACUGAGCUCUAUAUCUAUCCACUAAUGAUUUAGCCAAGUUAUACAUCCGAAUAAAUUAUAAAUCUAGCACUCUAUUUAUCUACGAACCUUUAUCCAAAAACUAAACUUACUGAUCUUUUCUUUUAAUAUUAAAAACCUAAAAAAGGCGUAUAUAUUUUUGAUAUAUAUAGAUAUAAGAUUUCAAUCUUAUUUUUGGCUGUAUAAGUAGCAUUUCUAACUAGCUGAAGCUCGAACGCUUUUCAACUUAGAAUCUAGCUUGCUCAGUUAUUAAAUAAGGUAAGUUCAAGCCGCCAAUAAAAAGGAAUUUUAUUCGCUUGAGAUUGGCCUCUGUCGACUCGAAUCGAGCUCGAGCCAGCUCGAGCCCCCCGCCUUUGGCUAAUCGAGUCGACCUGAGCUCAACUAUUGUGCUCGGCUUGUGUACACCUUAAAAAAAUAAAUAAAUAAACUGAACAAAAUAUAGUAAUUCUCAAUCUGUGCCUUGUUGAUCCAUUUAUACAUGUCAAAUAUUUUUCUUCAAAAUAAGUAACACAAUAUGCCUACCCAAAAUCUUUUUCGUUUUUUUUUUGGCCACAAAUUUUAUGAAGUUAGCUUCAGAUUUUAAUUAGGAUUGAAGCAUGUAAUCGAUUUGGGCCUUGGUGGGCCUUGGAUGGCCCAAACAUAACUUGGCAUUUGCCGAAGCCCAAACGGUAGAGCAGCUUUUCUGUUUCAAGAAGCACCGUGAACUUUUAUUCGAGAAAAAAAAGAGAGAUUUUGCUGUGGUGUGUUUUAAAGUAAUCAAUCGAGCACUAAAAAUGAACAAAUUCAAUUUGAAACUGUUAUAUUCGAUAUAAUAGAAGGUGUCGAGGGAAAGCUAAUUUAGUCGAGUAAUCGAUAAAUUUUAGAAAGAGUUUACGGAUGAGUUUACUACGCUUUCGGCCACGUCUCACUUAACCCUCAACACAAAAAAUAUCAUUAAACUUAAUCUUGUAUCCUUGGCAAAUGAACUACAUUGAUUGUUAGAUAAAAUGCGGAUUCUUUUAACUUCUAGUAUCGAUGGUUUGUAUCUGAUUUUAGUCCUCCAAUUUAAGUGCCAACAUAUGAAAAUAUUCAUACAUAAAACCGAAGUAACUUACCAACUCAUUUCAACGAAUUUUUGCAUCCAAAUUUCAUAGUCGUUCUAAAAUUUUAGUUUUAUUUGGGACAGUAAUAUACUGCAGGUUAAAAUCGACAAAAAUUUGAAAAAUUUUAAAAAUGUACUGUCUUUGAGAAAUUUGAUCUCAGAACUCACAGUACUUCUGCAGCAGAAAUAAGACCGUAUAGAAUCAUUAGGGUUAAAAUGUGACAGCAAAAGUUAAAUUAAUUCCUGAUCAAUUUUGUACCCAACUGAUCUGAGUUGUGUAUGAAAAUGUGGUAAAUUAUGGCUAGUCAGUAAAGAACUGCAGUGGCUCUGUACAAGUCAGAAGGGUUCAGAAAACAAGGUGGUCUAGCUGCAGGGCAUUUAUAGCUAGCUGCCUGCAGUUGCAGAUCACAUGUCAAGUUAAUGGACAUUAAAAAUAGGAGGAAUUCUACACUGUCACACUUGCACCACGUCAUCAAUAACAAGUCAAUCACAUUUGUUCUUUUCAAAUAAAAGUACAAUAAAAAUACUUUUUUACAAUCAUGAUGGGACAUAUAUUCUUAAAAUGAUUAAUUUGAUUGGUUUGUUACACCACGUCACUAGUAUACCCGUUGCAUUCUAAAAUUUUUCUAAAAAUAGAAUUAAUUUUAUACAUGUCUCUACAAAUAUAGUGAAUUACAAAUAUAUUCCUACAAAAUUUAAUUUUUAUAUAUGGUAUAAUUGUAUAUAUACAUUUUAAAACUUUAGAAAUAUCUUAUUUACCCAUACUUUUUUUUUUUUCUUUCCAAUAUAUCCCUCAUAUGUUCCUCCGUUAUUCCAAAAUACUUCUGCAGUUACCACCCUUUAAGUUAAUUUGAGUUAAACGUGAAUUAAAUAUCUACUAGAGUUUAAAAAAAAAACUAAAAUACCUCUUUUAUUCUUAACAUAACGGUAAAUAAGAAAUAUUGGUUAUGGUAGAAAGGUAUACUUGAAAAGACAAAAAAUCAAAAUACUUUUUGUUCCCCUAUCUAAAGGGUAAAUAAGAAAAAUCGGUUAUGGCGAAAUAUUUGAAAGGGUAAAAUAGUAAUUUCAUACUGAUAACAGUUAUUGUUAACAGUUUAUUAACGGAAUUUAACUCUAGAGGUAUAUUUCAAAUAGUUGGAAUGUAAAAAGGGUAUUUUUAAUAUUAGCCUUCUAAAAAAGGUAAUAAGAAAGUCAUAAACUUUUCAGAAAUAUAUAAGCAAUUGCCCCUUUAUAUGUUGUCUCUGCAAAAAUCUUAAUGUUUUUAAAUAUAUUCUUAUGGUUUGUUACUGUUAAACAACUGUUUAUUUUAUAAGUGAAAUGACCUUUUUGCCGUCACAAAUAUGUCCCUCCAAAAAUCUUAACUAUUAAUUGGAAAGGGCUAAAAAUAUCAAUUCACCUCAUUAACUAAUUACGGUUAAGUAUUUUACAUAUGGUUAACUAAUAUUUUCUAACGGAUCGUAAUAGCACAUAUUAAUGUGAUUGAUGUGAUUUCUUGUUACUAGGGCAAUUUUCAUCUAAAUUAAUAAAAUUAAUUUUGAGUCUAAAAGGCAGAAAAUGUUUUUCAACAAAUAUCCACUUUUGCACUUUAUCUCUAUAUAUAUUUUUUUAAAUCUCUAUUUUGUUAUUUUAAAAUUUAAAAUUGUAUCACUUGAUUAUGCGCAUAAACUAUUUUGCAACUAUUAUAUAUACAAAUUAUGUAGUACAACCAAUUUACUAAGAUACUCAUUAUAUUUUUAAAACUAUAUAAGAAUGAGGAAUGCUAUUUGUACACUCCUAAUUCCUAAAUUAGGAGAAAGUUUCCUAUACGGCCGUCACACAAUGUCGCAUGUCUCUCAACUAAUCAAAUUUUUUUUAUUUAAGAAAAAAAUUCAAUAUUUUUUAAAAAAAUUAUGAUGGGCUGAGCGAACCCUAGGGGUCAAAUGUGAUUGAUUAGCGACACUAUAUCAUCUAUGACUAUCACAUUUUUUUAAUUUUUUUCUAUAUUAUGCAUACAUCUUAUAUCUCAUUCAUCUAAGAAAAUCUUUCUCCACUAAUCUUACCAAUUUUUUUUUAAAACUAAAACCGAUUUGAUUUUCUAUAAACUUUAUGAUGGAGUGGGUAUAAGAUUUACAUUUAUAUAUAGGUAUACAGAUAGCAUAUUCCUAUAAGAAUAUUUUUGUGUUUCUUAAAUUAGCUUAUUAUAUUGAGGUUUCCUACUAUUUACUAAUUAAAUUUUAGUUUUUCAUCAUUUUUUAAGAAUGAAGUUGUGUAUAUUACUAGUUAUCUAGUUGUAUCAUACUGUAUAUGAAACAGUAACAAUAUUGAUUUACCACCACAAUAUAAAUUUAAGAGGACAAAAUAUAAGUUUCUUUUAAAAAAAUAAUGAGGUAAAAUGUAAAAACACUCAUUUAUAAAAGAAAUAUUUUAUAGUUUAACCCUAAUAAAAAUUCUAUGGGACGGGAGACAAUGUGUACCAUUGCGUGAUUAACCCCUCAACAAAUUUCUAACCUUUUUCUAUUUCUUUUUUGACUAAAUUACAAAAAAAUUUUAUAAAUACUUGUUUUUUUUACUUUUUCUUUCUAUUUUUUAAAAAUCUAUAUUGUAUUCCCUCAACAUUUUAAGUUGUUGCAUUAAGCCUCCAUCCGUCAGGAUUUCAUCAUUCUUCUGUCUAUUUCUUAUUAUUUAUACUAAAAAUAAUUUUUAAAAUAACAAAAAUAUAUUAAAAAAUAUUUUUAAUAGAAGAAAUAAGAAUAAUUAGGACAUUUUUCUAUCUCGUUAAUAUCGUACCCACUUGAAACUAUUUCUAAAAUUUGUAAAAAAGCAAAAUAUAAAUUUUUUAAAAUAAAAAAGAAGUAAAAAAAAAAUAUUUUUAUGACAAUGUUUGGAUCGGGGAUAAUGGGAGAGAUAACCCCUUAUCCGUCCCUUUAUAUCCAAAAGCAAAUUUUUUAUCCGAGAAUAAUAGUUCUCGGAUACUUGAAAUAAUCUGGUAUAACUAUUCCACCAACACCUCUAUUUUUUAUAUAUAACUAUCCACUAUUUUACGUUAUUUUUUUUUAUCCCAGAAACAAUCUAAUUUUUAUCCAAACAUUAUUUUUUCUAUUUGUAUUUAUCACUGUAAUAAUUAGUUCUUACUUAUAUCCAAACCAAACGUUAUCUAUAUAUAUAUAUAUAUAUAUAUAUUUUUUAUAUUUUAUUUUUGUAAAAAAAAAAAAGGCCUUAUUCUUGAAUCGCUUUCGUUUGCAUUCUACUGUCAUUGUCCGAGCAUUUAAAACAGCAAACCUACUCCACAUGACCAACAUCGAUCAGAAUAAUUAAUUAAUGAAUGAAAAAGGAGGCUUUACGACGCAGCGAUUAUCAUUUAUUGCACCACCCAUGUACCGAAUCCCAGAUUUCAAUACCCCUCGUCCAAUCCAUUUCCGUGUACGGAUCCAUCCAUAUGCGACUUUUUUUUUGUGAGGGGUAAAGCGCUUUGGCCUUUGAGAAGAAGCCGCAGCACCGUUUAUUGCGGGUGAAAAUUGUACGCAGGCCCCUCAACGAUACGGCGUUAUGAAACAAGCCCCCUUCACUUUCUUUGUUCUCGCAAAUUUGUGUUUUCUUUUUUGGCUAAAUUACAGAAAAUCUUCCAUCAAAAUUUGAUUUUUUAUUUUUCCUUCAUGUCAUUUAAAAAUCUACCCUUUGUCCUCUUGUAAAAUAAAAAAUAUUCACAGGGAUACGGUGUGAACUGUGAUGAUAAAAUGACCAUUUUGGCCCUCAUCAUUUUGCCGCUCACUAUAUUUACAGAAAAGAAGGUUGAAGGCAUUUUUGGCAUAAAAAUAUAAAUAAUAAUAUUUUAUAAAUGGAAUACUAAUAGAUUAUUAACGGCAGGGGACAAAAUGAACAUUUUUCAUUUUACAAGGGGGCAAAGUGAUGGGACAAAAUAUAGGUUUUUAAAUCACAGGGAGAAAAAUGAAAAAUUAGGUUUUGACAGGAGGUUCUAUGUAAUUUAGCCUUUUUUUUAAAAAAAACUUCAAAUAUCACCCCUAUAGUUUCACACUUUUUCACUUUAGUAUUCUGUGGUUCAAAAUGUAUCAAUUUACUGUCCUGUGAUUUCAUUAAUUUUUAUCUUUUUAUUAUAGACUUCAUUAAUUUUUUUCGUUAAAUCAGUGACAAAAUUAAAAUUAAAGAGUACUAAAGUGAGUAUUCGAUAAGCCUAGGUAGAGUAUCUGAAGCAUUUUAUAUAUAAUUUAACGAAAUAUUAACGGAGAAGCUGACGAAAAGAUAAAAAUGAAACUACAGGACACUAACUCGAUACACGUUAAAUCACAGGAUACUAAAAUGAAAAAGUACGAAAUCACAGGGGUGGUAUCUAAAGAUUAAUAUGUUAUUCGUUUCGUUUAUUUUUUAAAAAAAUAAACUUAGGUAAAAAUAUGAAGCAAUUAGAUUUCGAAUUUAAAAUCUCGAAUACAAAUCAUCAAAUUUUUCACCACCUUUUUUUUUUUUUUUUUUUUUUCUGGUCGACACUUGGUAACGUCCAACUUCUUUUAUAUGAAUUUUUCUAGCUAGUUAAAUUAUUGUUUAAAUAUAUUAGCUCUAAUAGCUAUUAAUUGUUAAUUAUUUAGUUUAUAUUUUAUAAACACAAACUAAAAUAAAUUAUCAGAUUUGAUAGAAUUAUUUCUGAUUNUCGUAAUUAAAAAAAAAGGUAAUUGCAUACAACUUCCUAUAAAUAUAUCGAAUAGCAAAUACAUUCUUACACGGUUAAACUUUUUAUUUUCAUCCUUACAAAAAAAAAAAUUUGAUAGGGGUUUUGGCGUACUGGUAAAUAAAUUUAAAAUAAUUAAUAAUUAUUAGUUCGUAGAUUGGUUCAAUUUAAUUAAAUUUUUUCGAAUAAUAAAUAUUAAAUGUUCGCCCUCGCUGUUUGAGAAAGUGGUGGACAUUUGACGAAAUAAAUACGUCAUUAGAUGGUGUGAAUAUUAAAGUAAAAAAUUAAGAAACUUAUCUGAAAUAUAAAUUAUUUUGAUUCCGUUGCUCAAUCUUUUAAAGUUUUUAAUUUUACUAUUCAAUUUUUCUAUUUAUUUGAAUUAAGUGAAUCGAUAAUAUUUUAACUUUAAAAAUUUAAACUAAUUAUUUAUUUUAAUAAAAUUAUAAUUGUACAAAGUUGAUGGCUUAAAUCAAAUAAAUUAAAACGAAAUGCUGAUGGUAUACCCUUCUGAGGGUGUAGGAUAUACACCACACCCAUCAAGUAACUAGUGGACAAUAUUUCACUCUUGAAUGGGUGGGAUGUAUCUUGUACGCUCCUACUGGGGUGUACAAGAAAUAUUUUUUAUAAAUUAAAGAGUAACUUCAAAUACAACUUCUGUGGUUUCGCACUUUCUUGCUUUAUUAUCUUAUGGUUUAAAAUGCAUCACUUUAAUAUCAUGGGGUUUUAUUUUUCUCUUUCAGUCAGCAUCUCCGUUAACUCUUUGUUAAAUUAUAUAAAAAAAACUUCAGAUACCCCACUUAUGAUUUAUUGAAUAUUCACUUCAGUGUCAUGUGGUUAUCGAAUUUUCAGUUUAGUACUCUGUGGUUUUAACUUUGUUACUGAUUUAACGAAAAAAGUUAACGGAGGAAAUAACGGAAAGAGAAAAAUGAAAUCAGGGGAUUACUAAAGUGAUACAUUUUAAAUCAUAGGGCACUAAAGUGAGUAAGCGCGAAACUAUAGAGGUGGUAUUUAAAAUUUUUUCUAAAUUAAAAAAUUAAAUAAUAAAAUUAAAAUUUUGAAAGAUUAGACAUGAAUAAGAUAAGUCCGGUACAUUUUUUUCCUAUAAAAAAAAGAUUAAUUUCAUAUAUGUUCCUGCAAAUAUAGUGAAUAACAAAUAUAUUUCUACAAAGUUCAUCUUUCAUAUAUUGUCUUUUCAAAAGUCCCGUUGUUUUCAAAUAUGUUCAUGCCGUUAGAAUUCGUUAGAAAAAAUUAGUUAACCAUAUGUUAAAUACUUAACCCUAAUUAUUUUUGAUAUUUUUACUCCUUUAUAUUAUACUAGUAUGGCUUUUGGAGGGAUGUAUUUGUGGUGACAAAAUUGAAAAUAUAAACGGUUCUCUAAUGGUAACAAACCAGAAGAAUAUAUUUGAAAAUAUUAGAAUUUUUGCAGGGACAACAUAUGAAAGUUGAACUUUGUAGGGAUAUAUUUGUCAUUUACUAUAUUUGCAGGGACAUGUAUGAAAUUAACCCAAAAAACAAGAACUAUUUACUUGUCCAGCCUCUUUACAAAAAAAAAUUCUCUAUCUAGUCUCCUUUUGAAAAUAUUCCCAAUCUAGCCUCAUUUUUAUAUUUUUUUUAAAAAAAGAUAAGUUAAUAAUUUUUAUAUAGAUUAAUAUGUUAAGUGGGUGGAGAUUAUUUUUUUUCUCUCUCCUUUUAAAUUAAGUGAAUGUAAUGUGAUUUUAUAUAUGAACACUUUUAAAUUAUAUUGACUUGUAUAAUCAAAUUAAGUACUAGUAGUACUAAUUAAAAAUUAUAAUUUAGAAAUAUUAUUAUUAAUAAAUAAAUUUUUUAUUAAGUAUUCAUAUAUAAAAUCACAUUAUAUUCACUUAAUUUUAAAGGAGAGAGAAGAAAGAUAAUCUCCACCCCCUUAACAUAUUAAUCUAUAUAAAAAUUAUUAAUUUAUCAUUUUUUUCUUAAUCUAUAAAAAUGAGGCUAGAUUGGGAAUAUUUUUCAAAAGGAGGCUAGAUAGGAAUUUUUUUUUUGCUAAAUUACAUAAAACCCCUUGUCAAAAUUCGAUUUUUCACUUUCUCCACUCGUCAUUUAAAAACCUACAAUUUGCCCUCUUGUAAAAUAAAAAAUGUUCACUUCGACCCCUACAGUUAGUAAUCAGUUAGGAUUCCGUUUAUAAAAUAUUAUUAUAUAUUUUUUUAUGCAAAAAAUGUCCGCAGCCUUCUCUUCUGUAAACAUGGUGAUGGGCAAAAUGAUGAGAGGGAAAAUGGUCAUUUUAUCAUUACAGUUCACACCGUACUCCUGUGAAUAUUUUUUAUUUUAUAAAGGGGCAAAAUAUAGGUUUUUAAAUGACAGGGAGGAAAAUUAAAAAAUUGAGUUUUGACAGGAGAAUUUUCUGUAAUUUAGCUUCUUUUUUAUUAUUAUUAUUAUUAUUAUUAUUAUUAUUAUUUUAAAGAGGCUUGACAAGUAAAUGAAUCAAAAAAACAAUAGGAGGGGCAUAAUCUAUACCACUUGUAAGUAAGGGGUAUCCAUACAAUUUUUACCUGAUAAUAUCUCAUCCUCUCUCCGACCGAAGAAAAUUCCUCCAAUCGCUUGACGUGACACUUCAAUAAGCUAGUCCGCCUGACAUGUACACCGAAAUCGGGUGGGGUCAACCAACCCGAACCCUACCACCCACACAGAAUUCUCUUCCUACGCCUGGUGCAUCCGUACAUUUCAUGCACCGCAUUCUCAAAACAGUCCCUCAAAAUAUUAUAAACUAUUCAUUCACAAAACAUUAUUAUUCGACAGUAAAGAAAUUGUAUUUGCUAUUCGCUUUUUAAUCCUUAAUAAAUUCAUAAUUAGGAGAUAGGAAAUACUAUUUCUCUACUAUUAAUAGCAUUUUAAUUUUUUUCCUAGUUAAAUAACCUAAAUCUUAAAAAAUAAUAAGUUUUAAAAGUCUAUUUUCUUAUAAAUUUGACAUUCUCCUUGAACUAAUUUUCGGAAUUGCUGACAUUUUUAAUUCCUUAACAGUUGAGUAACAGAUUUUAAUAAUUUAUAGUAUAUUCGCAUGUAAAUUUCUUAGUAUCCUUCAAACUCUAAGAUAUAGGAUCCUCUCAUUAUUCUUUCGAUAUUGUAAGUUAUAUUGGAUCAUAUUCGAAUUUAAUGAAAUUAAUAAUCAAUCAAAUAUUGCCACUGGUGCAUGAGACGCCAAUGCACGAGGUGCAGGCAACAAAUUUCACACCACCCCCACCUCCUCCCCCAUUGUGGGCCCCGCACACUCCUUCGCGCAAGCCCAACCACGUGACCAGUGACCACACUCAUUCUACAAACUUCCAAAUUCGACCCGUUUCGACACCUUUUUAACUCCGAUGAGAUGAGGUGUGCCACACACCCUCCACAUGCUUAAUAAAACGCCUCCAACCUCUCCAGCAAUAUAUAACCCCGUUAGUAUUACCAACAUAGUAACAACGAUGAACAAUAUUCCGGACUAACAUCCAACUGCUCUAAAUAGUGAUGAAAUAAUUAAUAAAAGCCUUUAUCAUUAACUCAUUUAAGAGAUGGAGAGAGUUCUAGACAGAGAGGGGGUGGGAGAGUACUAGAAAGCCAGCUCAGCAAUUUCUUGCACCAUGACAAAGGACAGAGUAGGGAAAACGAAAUGGCAAUGGGCUUGUCCGCGCCAAAAGCUACAGAGUAGGGGGUACGGCUUUUUGUAAGAGCGAAAAGGACCACUCAGUAGCGCAAAAAGAAACCCAUUGGCGACUAAGGAAAAGCACUUCUUAGGAGUAGCCCCAGCAUGCAUUAAUUAUAGCUGCUCCCGAACCCAUCUAUAUAUCUACUUCAUCAGUAGGCCAAACAUCAGCUUCUUCACAGCUCGCNGGGGGGGGGGGAACGAAGAAAAAAGGAAAAAGUGGGUAGUGAUCAUGAUAUGUGAAUUUUUAAGUGUCAAAGAUUUUAGAACUAAAUCUGCCUAACUACACGGUGAAAUGCAAAAACAAAAUGAUAGUGAGACGUAAAUGCAGUAAAUAUUAUAAGAGUUCGACUCAGAGGAUCGUGAACGGCGCACUCGACUUGAAUGGAUUUGCCAAAUGAUCCUCAAUAUUCUGGCUCUCAAAUUAGGGCGGCAGUAGUUAGUUCGGAUUUUGAUGAGAUCUUCUUAUUCUGCUGUUAGUGCGCCUUUCGCGUGAGCCAAGAACUCCCACAUUGUGUCGGCUAGCGGGGCGGAUUGGCGGUUUGGAUCGGGCGCCACGCCGAGGCGGUGAGGAGGCAAAGGUCCUUCCACCCGAGCUUGAGCGCGCCGUUCUCCUCGACGAGCGUGUAUCCGUCGGAGGGGAACAUGCCGAGGAGGAGCGUGGCCUGGGCGGCGGCAUUGCCCGCGAGGGAGACCGAGCGGAAUCCCGACUGGGCCAGCUUCUCGCGCCAGUUGCCGAACUUGACAUCCCCGGACCGCGCCGGGCCGCCCACGGCGAGCACGUUGCGGAUCUCGCGCGACAGCAGCUGCUGCUCGACGACGUGCCGCUCGGGGCUGUCCUCGCCGUAGCUGGCGCCGAGCGAGUCGAACAGCGCCGAGUAGUAGUGGAUCGCCUCGACGAACCGCGCCAGGAACGAGCCCCCCGGGCUCAGAUCCUGCUCCACCAUCGUCACCACCUUCGGCGCCAAACUACAUCAACCAACCAAACAAACAAACAAACAAACAACAAAUUUUCAAACUAGUUUUCUUUUUUUUUUUUUAACCCUAAUAAAAUUUCGAAUCUCAUGUAAUGCGUGUAACACGUGAAAAAAGAAUGGAUAAAAAUCUUAUCAAAAGUCGUACUACUCUUCUAAUACAGUACGCCAAUCCGUCUAUUAAAUCCCCCCCUCCUAAUCAUGGCAACUAAAGAACACUGAGAUUAUGGAAAAAAAGGGCAAUGGCUUCAAAAGUUAGUCAUAAUGACUACUUUUAGCUUUACUUGUGUAAUCUAUAAAGUAUUUUAAUAAAAGUUCUUUCUAGCUCCACAUUUUCAAGAGACAAAAAGUGCUUAACACCACACCAUAAUAAUAGUAAUAAUGCAAGAUGAAAAAAAAACAAGAAGAAGAAGAAUAUAUGUAUAUAUAUGGUUGGAGAUUGGGCAAACACAAGCGAUUGAUUGAGAUCACUUCCGUCUUCGUGCUAGAGCACAAGAUCGGCACAGAAACCAGUCAGAAAUAUGAUGCGCCCGUACUGUUUCCAAGUUCUAUAUAUAUAUAUAUAUAUAUAUAUAUAUAUCCUCUCCUCCCCCCUCUCACCUUCUUUCUUUUCGUUUUUUUUUUAAAAAAAAAAAAAAAGAAGAAGAAGAAAGGUUUGAUUAAUUAAUAUUAGAAAGUUCCUUUGUGUUAAUAAUUAGUACGUAGUAGUGAUUGAUUGAUUAAUUAACAAUCUGAACGAUGUAUAUAUCUUGUUUGAUUGAAAUGCAAAAAGAGGUAAUUAAUGGGAAUGGAGAUCAUGAAAGAAGAGGGUAAUGUAAUGUACCGCUGGAGGAGCCAGAGGGUGUUGGUGUCGGAGCCGGUGACGUCGUAGAGGGAGUGGUGGAGCCAGUGGACGGCGAGGGCCUCGCGGCGGGAGACGCCGAGGCGGUCGGGGUCGAGGUUGCCGACCUUGUCGGCGACGGGGUGGAACUCGAAGGGGAGGCCGAGGGUGUCGGCGAAGUCGGAGAGGCGCUUGCCGGUGGCCUCGAGGGCGUCGAGGGAGGCGCCGAGGCCGGUCAGGCGGACGCGCGGGGGCCCGCCGGGGCGGGAGGCGAGGAUGUGGAAGAGGCCCGGCCACUGCAGGCCCUGCAUGAUGUCCAGGUCGAUGAUGUGCACGCGCUCCUCGCGGUCGAACGCCUCCUGGAUCGCCUGGUUCGCCGUGAAGUGCGAGAACUUCACGAACGGGCUGAUGCCGUUGAACACCUGGAAGGCCGCCGCCAGCCGGUGGUGGACCCGGAGGGCCGCCGGGGACGACGCCGGCAGCGGGGCGUAAAGCCCCAGGCAGGAGCUGACCAGCCGGGCCGACAUGGCCUCCGAGAAGUAGGCCGCCACGCGCUGGGCCGAGCUGCCGAACGGGGUCGCCAGCUCCGAGAUCUCCAGCAGCAGCCGGUUCGCCUCGUCCAGGUUGUCCGCCGCCACCGACUCCGCGCACUGCAGCAGCAGCGUCAGCAGCUGCAGCCCCUCCUCGUCGCGCUUCUGCUGCCGCAGCUCCUCCUUGCGCGCCCUCGUCGGAGGUGGAGCUGCGCUGGGGCUGGGGGUCGGAGGAGCAGGAGGGUUGGGGGUUGGGGAGGCGAUGAUGAUGAUGAUGAUGAUGAUGAGGGGGAGGAGGAGGAGGAUACGCGGGCUCCUCCGGCCAGUUGGGCGGCUGCUGCUGCUGCUGUUGUUGGCUUUGUGGCGACUUGGGAAGAGGCGGGGCCGGUGGGGGCUGGGGCGGGGGAGGGGCGAGCUCGCGGCGGCGAGCUUGUCAGGCUGGGCGCGUCGGAGGGGAGGGAGGGGAGCGGCGGCGGCGGCGGCGGAGGAGGAGGGAGAGGGUCGGAGGAGGCGAGGGAGCGGAGGCGGUGCUCGAGGACGGCGGCGAGGGCGGGGUUGCAGGGGUGGAUGACCUCGCGGACGUUGUGGAUCAGCUGCGGGAUCGACACCGCGGGCGCCGCGCUGCUCAGGAGGUCGCGGAUGAUCCCGUCCACCCACGCCGACGCCGCGCCCUCGUCCGCGCCGCCGCGGCCCGCCACCCCCUCGUUCGCCGCCGCCGCACCCCCCCCGCCGCCCCGCUCGAGCUCCGCCGGGAACAGCGGCAGCCCCGAGAACCCGCACACCGCCGGCGCCGGCGGGGGGAGAGACGGAAGGAACUGCGUCGGGUUGCCCCCGUGCUGCACCAAAAUCGGGGCGUCCAGAGCGCCGCCGCCGCUCGAAGCCGAAUACAGAAGCGAGGAGGGGUGCCCCGCCGCCGCGCUCUCCGCGAACGGCCCCUGCGCCGCGGCCGUGGACGAGGAAGCCCCGCCACCCGCCGCCGCAGCACCGCCUCCGCCGCCGCGACGAGGGAGUCUGGGGUUGUGGUAAGAAGAUGAGGAGGACUCGUGCUGUAGAUCGAGCUCCGAGGCGGGGCGCUUCCUCACCAUGAUCACCUCGCCCACCUGCUGCUGCUGCUGCUGCUGCUGCUGCUGUUGUUGCUGCUGCUGGAGAUAGAGGAGAUAAAGAAGCUCCUUUUCCUCUUCAGAGUAGUGCGAGAAGUGAGAAUCAUGAGAAGACGACGUCGUGUUUGUGGUUGUGGUUGUGGUUGUGGUCGGGGGCAGGAGCAGUAAAGAGGAGGAACCCAUCAGAAAAAACAAAGGGAAAGGGCUCGGCGCAUGCUAGUGCAGUAGAAGAAACGGUGAGGUGGUAGUAGCAGUAGUAGUAGUAUGAGGAUGAGGAAGAGGAGGAGGAGGAGGAGGAGAGUAAAGAGGAAGAGGCCGAGGAGCAGAAGCCGCGCAGAGAACAACAACAACAACAAUAACACGGGAAUAAGCACGAGACCAAUAGUAAUACUAAUAAUAAUAAUAUUAUUAUUAUUAUUGUUACUAUUGUUAACAGAGGGGGAGGGGGAUAUAUAUUGCUUAUAAAGCGGGUGCGCAUUGGGGUACGCAUAAGGGGUCGGGGACGGCUCCAAGCGAAAAACGGCGGGGCGAUUCGGACAUGGGGGUGAGGGGUUGUUGUUCGGGCCUGGAUUCGACGCUAAUAAGAAAGAACAACCUGUUGCAGCGUUUCCUAUUUCUCUCUCUCUCUCUCUCUACCACUGUAAUUUUUUCCUUUUUUCUUUUUUUUUUUUGUUUCCCCCCUAUCUCUCUCUCUCUCUUACCUAGAGGAGAGAGGAGAGAGGAGAGAGGAGAGAGAGAGAGAGAGCCGUUGCCGUUGUCGCGCUCGGCGCUCGCGCGUCGCUCGGGGCGCGUCGGGAGACGACGCGAAACCCCAGGCGAGGGAGGUGAGAGGGGUGGGAAAAAUCGGGUUGGCUUUUUUUCUUUUUUUUUUUUUUUUCUUCUCCGCCGUGCGAUUUGUGCGGUGGGAUUAAUGAAAAGGUCGGAUUAAACAACGAGCAUCCAAAAUGCAUGCAGACCCUUCUACUUCAUCUUAUUUCGAUUGACACCACCAAAGAUCUUCUUGGAAUGUGCGAACAUGCCGCUUCCUAGUUAAAAAAAGGCAAAAAGAAAUUCAAGAAUUUUUAAAUUUUAUUUUAAAUUUUUAGUAUUGAAAGAUUUAAUAAAAUUAGUGAAUAAAUAUGUGUCCUUGGAAAACUGCAGAGUGUACCUCAUUUUAUCAUCCUAUAGUUAGAAAAAAAAAAAACAAUGCUUUAUUCUCUUUUGAUUUUUAUUUUUGUCUAAUCAUAAGAAUUCGAUCUUUAAUAGAAUAACAAACUGAUAUAAUUAUAAACCACAAAAUAGUAAGAUACAAUAUUUGUAUAAAUCACUAAAAAAAGUAAAAUAUAGCAUUUCACUAGCCUCUAAUUUUCUGAUAAAUUAAUGAUAAAAUUAUAGAUAAUAAAAUAAUAUUUUUUAAACUGUAGGAUGAUAAGUUUGGGGGCCUAUUUUAAAACAUUAUUAUAUAGUAUUUUUUAUCUUAAACUAAAUUAGUAAAGAGGGUAGGCUUUUUCAUUUGACUUGGAAAGGUUGUUUAGGUCUUAGUUGGGAUGUGGGGGUUAUGGGAAAGGGUGUGAUAAACAAAUUUAGUUCUUGAUUGUGGGGUACUGUGUAAAAGUGUUACAAAGGGAGAAAAAAGGUGUGUUGGACUUUGGUCCUAUUUCUCUCUCUCUCUCUCUCUCUCUCUCUCCUGAAACAAUUAGAAAAGGUUUUUUUUUUUGUAAAGAGAAAUCUUAGAUAGUGGAGCUUUUUGAGAUGUUGAGUAUAACUGCUGUUUCCAAUUAUCAUUGCAUUUGGUUGGGUGAGCUUUGACUUUGAAACUUUUUUUCUGGGGUUUGAGUUUGAAAUUAUUACAUAUAUUUUUUGUUUUAAACUUUGUUUGAAGUUUAUGUAAAAAUUUACAAGUUAUUGUUUAAAAUAAAUCUUCUUCAUGAAAUAGAGAAAUUAAAAUUUGUGAGUAGCUCUUAUUUUUGUAUGGAUAUUUGAAGCUUUAUCUGAAAUCAUAACUAAAUAUAAUGCUUUUAACCGAAUAUAAAAGAGAAUGGUGUUGGUGAUGGGGUUGUAGAAAGUGAUAUAUGCGCCGAUACCAAUCGAUUGUAUUACGUAGGAUUUAGAUUGCAUGUUUAGAGAUAAAAUAAGUUAGGAGAACUAAACAAAUUAUAUUUUGUUAAUUAAACCAUUUAAUACAUUCGACUACUCUAUACAUCCUUGGCUUUUAGAGGAGGCCUUAUGUAUGUAAGCUUUUUCUAACUCUCUCCUUUACGAAUUCCUUGUGUUCAUAUUAAGAUUGAUUUUAGAUCAUUUUUUAUCGAUCGAUCUUUUGGAUAAUAUAAUUUUAGAGCAAUGUUUCAAUACACUAUGGGCGUGUUUGGUUCGCUUAUUUUUCACCAUAGAAUCGAAAUCGGAAUGGGUGAAUUCGUUUGUAGGUGUUUGGUACGUGGGAGUCUCAUUCCGAUUCCGAUUCCCGAGUGGAAUGGGAAUCCCCCAAUCACCUCAUUUUUCAAUCCGACCUAGGAGACCGGAUUAGAAGUUGAAUCAGGACGGAAUGGAUAUUUAUUCGGAUUAAAUUUAUUUUUUCUACUUUUUAAUUACAAUAUGAGUUUAAACUUAGAAAUUAAAUUUUAAAUUUUAAAUUUUAAUUUGAACUUGAAUUAAAAAUUAAAAUUUAAUCAAGUAUUUUGAAUCUAACUUAUGAAUUUGAAUUUAAAUUAAAUUUUAAUUUAUAUAAAAUUUUAUUCAAAUUUUAUUUAAAACUUAAAUUAAAUUUAUGGAUUCAAAUUAAAAUUUAAAUUGUAAUUUUAAGUUUGAAUUUGAAUAAAUCAAAAUUUAGUUUUAUAUUUUGAAUUAUUUACUCAACUUCAAAGUUUAAUUUUUUUAAAGAAAUAGAUUUAAAAUUUUGAUAUUAUUUCAAAAUUUUGAUGUAAAUAUUUAAUAUUUAAAUUUUAAUUUGAAUUUAAAUUAAUAUAUUAUAAAGAUAAAGUUAGCAUAUUAAUCCGAUUACGUUUUUUAUAUUUACCUAAACCAAACACCAACAAUGGGAAUGAUUUAUUCCGAUUCCGAUUCAGGUGAUGAACCAAACAGAGUUAAGUAAUAAGUCAUUCCGAUUCCGAUUCCGAUUCCAGCUUAUUUCGAUUUCGAUUCCGAUUUCGAUUCCGACUUCGAACCAAACAUGCCCUUAAGUAUUAAAAUCAAACUCUUAAUUAGUAAAGGGUAUAGUUGGAUUUUACAUAAGGUAACCUAUUGAAUAGGUUACCGAUUUGAAUUAGUUAAUAUGACAAUAUUGGAAAAAAAUUAGUAGUAUAUACAAAUUUGUUAGUAUCCUAUAAUAUUAAGUAUCUUUUUUAGUUUUGUUACUUACCAAAUUAGAUAAUACUCAAUUUGUUAUUCAACUCAAAAAAAUAUUGAAUUUAAAUUUAAGUUUUGAAGUUGGUAUUGUAAUGUAAAAUUUUAAUUUCAAAAUUUAUAUUAAAUUUUUAAAUUUUGAAUCUACAUUGCACUUUUAAUCUGUAAGCCAAAUUUUAAUUUUUGAUUUAAAUUAAAAUUUUGAAUUUGAACUGAAAGUUUUAUUUUAAAUUUGUGUUUUAUAUUUAAAAGUUGAAUUUGAUUUAUAAUUAAGUUUUUUAUGUUGUUUUGUAUUUAAAUUUACAGUUUAGUUGUAAUUUGAAUUCCAACUAUUGUUGUAGGUAUUUGAAAAGGUUAUAGUAUUCUUAGUUGGAUAAAACCUAUCUUGUAGGCCAAAAUAUUUUUCUAAGACCAAAAUACCCUUUAAAUAGGUAUCUGGUGAAUGGUACUUAUGCCAAAAUAGUAGGUCGCCUUGAUUUACAUGGUGUAUUGAGGUAUUAUUCUUUUUUUUUUUUUUUUGAGAGAAAGGUAGCAUGUUACCCGCUUCGUUUUUUCAUUUAUAAAUAAACUUGGCUGAAAAUGUGAAUCAAUUAGGAUUCGAACUUGGGUCUCGGGUACCAACCACCAAGCCCUUUUGCCACUUGCGCUAGGGACAGUCGGUUAUUACUCAUAAUAUUAAAGCAGAUGCAAAGUUUCUCCUAUUUGAAAAUGGCAUAUAUACGUUGAGUAGGGUUAUUGUGCUAUUAGAAGCACAUAAGUCCUUGUGCUCUUAAUUUUCUAAUUAUUCAUUAAUUUUGAUGGAUGGUUAAAGAUGAGAGAGAAAAGAAAUUGAAAAAAAAAAUUAAAAAGAAGAGAAAUUGAGACACUCAAAUUCUUCUUAAUUUUUUUUCUCUCUUUCACCUUAACCAUUCGUCAAUUUAGAACGUUAGCAGCAUAAGGUCUCUAAUGAUUAUCGUUAUUGCUCUACGCACAAAAAAUU